CAGCUCUUCAUCUUAUAAAGGGGAGAAAUUUUCCCCAUUUGCUCACAGCUCAAGUGAGCGUGAGAUGAGUGAGAGAACCGGAAGAAGAAAAGAGAGAAGGGAAAAGAGAAGAAAAGAAAGAAAAGAGAGAAGAAGAAAACAAAGAAGAGAAAGAAAGAGGAGGAUGAAGAAAAGAAAAAAAAAAAAAAAUGAGAACUCUUCAAGGAAUUGUGACUUAGAUGCGGAUUCAAAAUAAGGGUAUGCAAUGUCAGAUUGCUCUAUAUAUAUAUUGUAAUAUUGAAGACAUGGGUACCAGUGGGCCUCUUAGUUGUUAAAAAAAAAUCCUAUCACUGCUUUAUGGUCUAGCAGGAGCAGUAGCAGUAGAAGUGUCUGGGACUCCAAUCUAUAGACGGCUUGGGCUAAGCAUAGACGGUGUAAUUUAAUUGCUUAUGAGAUUAUUGAAUACUAACACAUUAUGUAUUUGUGAUUUUAUAAAUGAAAAAUUAUAGUACU
Molecule: long non-coding RNA, 492 nt
Organism: Corylus avellana
Lineage: Eukaryota; Viridiplantae; Streptophyta; Magnoliopsida; Fagales; Betulaceae
Source: RefSeq, a predicted model, not a curated record